AUGAACCAGCUCCCGCCUCCGGCCAGCCGGCUGUGGGAGGCGGGCAUCCGCAAGCUUAACACCACCAUGGCCAUCCGCCGCGGCAGCUCCGUCUUCCCCGCCACCAGCCCCGCCCUCGACGGCGACCCCGCGGUCGCCCUCUCCGUCGCCUCCUCCAACACCAUCUACGGCUACGACGUCGUCGAAAACGACGACGAUGCCACGGGCGGCGGCGACAUCGAGGACAAUGAGGAAGACACCGACGAGGAGGAGGAGGAAGACGACGGCGAGGAGGCGGGCCCGGAGACCCACUCGGAGCAGCUGCUCCCCAGCGGCGACUUCUACCAGGGCAGCGUGCGCGGCGAUCUCCCGGACGGCUCCGGCAAGUUUUUAUGGACGGACGGCAGCAUGUACGAGGGAUCAUGGCGCCAGGGGCGCGCGUCCGGGCGCGGCAAGUUCUCCUGGCCCUCCGGCGCCACCUACGAGGGCGACCUCGCCGGCGGGUACAUGCACGGCCACGGCACCUACAUCGGCGAGUUCGGGGACACGUUCGCGGGCCACUGGGCCAACAACUUCCGGCACGGGCGCGGCACGCAGGCCUACGCCAACGGCGACGUCUACGACGGCCACUGGCGCGACGGGCGGCAGGACGGACACGGCAGGUACAUUUGGCGGUACGGGCACGAGUACAUCGGCACGUGGCGCGCCGGGGAGAUGCACGGGUGCGGCACCGUGAUAUGGGCCGACGGGGACCGGUACGACGGCGCGUGGGAGGACGCCAAGCCCAAGGGGCAGGGCACGUUCCGGUGGGCGGACGGCGGCAUGUACAUCGGCGUGUGGUGCCAGCAGGAGUCCGGCGAGACGAACGCAAUGGGCGGCGUGUUCUACCCGCCGUCCGGCGGGCCGGCCGUGCCGAUGCCGCCGCGGGAGCCGCGGGAGGCGAUCACGAAGCUGCUGGAGGAGCUGGCGGUGACGGAGGGCAAGGCAGCGUCGCUGCUGCCGUCGGAGAAGAUCGUGACGUGGCCCGGGGUGGAGGCGGUGCUGAAGAAGCCGGUGUGGCGGCCGCCGGAGCCGGAGCAAAUCCAAGGGAGGAGGUCCGGCGCGCACAGGGGGAGCAGCGUGUCGUCGAUUGACAUGGACCUCGCCGCCGAGGGGGAGGAGGCCCAUGCGCAGGCGCAGGCCCAGGCCCAGGCACAGGCCCAGACCAGCCUCAGCAGCGAGGAGGCCCAGGCCAGGGCGGCGUCCGUGGAAAGGGCGUGGCUGCGGGCGACGUCGUGCAUGCGCGCGCCGCCCAAGCCGGCCAAGAAGCAGGGGGAGACCAUAUCCAAGGGGCACAAGAACUACGAGCUCAUGCUCAACCUCCAGCUUGGCAUCAGGUGCGCCGCCGCCCUCUCUCUCUCUCUCUCUCUCUCUCUCUCUCUCUCUCUCUCUCUCUCUCUCUCUCUCUCUCUCUCUCUCUCUCUCUCUCGCAUUGAGAGGAAAAGAACUGAAUUUCUUUGGGGUUCGAUCAGGCAUGCCGUGGGGAGGCAUUCGGCGCCCAACUCGCUGGAUCUCAAAUCGUCGGCGUUUGACCCCAAGGAGAAGGUGUGGAGCAGGUUUCCUCCUGAAGGAUCCAAGCACACGCCGCCUCACCAGUCAUGCGAUUUCCGGUGGAAGGACUAUUGCCCACUGGUCUUCAGGACAUUGCGCAAGCUCUUUGACGUCGACCCAGCAGACUACAUGAUCUCCAUUUGCGGUGACGACGCGCUUCGGGAACUAUCGUCACCCGGAAAGAGUGGAAGCUUCUUCUACCUCACCAACGAUGACAAGUACAUGAUCAAGACCAUGAAGAAAUCAGAAGUUAAAGUGCUUCUUAGGAUGCUUCCAGCCUAUUAUAAGCAUGUUCGCAAUUUUGAACAUACCCUAGUGACCAAGUUCUUUGGCCUGCACUGUGUUAAAAUCACUGGAGCUAUUCAGAAAAAGGUUCGGUUUGUCAUAAUGGGGAAUCUCUUCUGCUCUCACUAUGGGAUUCAUCGUCGUUUCGAUUUGAAAGGAUCGUCACAAGGUCGCAUGACUGACAAGCCCCUCGAUCAAAUCGAUGAGCACACCACUUUGAAGGAUCUUGAUCUCAAUUUCAUUUUCCGGUUAGGAGGAUCUUGGUUCCAGGAGUUUUGCAGGCAAGUGGACAAAGAUUGUGAGUUACUAGAGCAGGAGAGGAUCAUGGACUAUAGUCUUUUGGUUGGCAUUCACUUCAAAGAUCGACUUAACGGCAAUGCUGACAACGGUGGUGCUGAAGAUUCUGAGCAAAAUAAGAAAGCGAAACUGGGGAUCGCCAUGCAGUCGAGGGUGGAGAAUGUUGUGCGGAACCCCGAGAGUGAGUCGCCGCUCAUCGGUGAACCCACGGGAGAAUUUCGGGAGGUGGUCCUCUUCUUCGGCAUCAUCGACAUCCUGCAAGACUACGACAUCAGCAAGAAGCUGGAGCACGCCUACAAAUCUCAGCUGUAUGAUCCCAACUCCAUAUCGGCCGUCGACCCCAAGCAGUACUGCAAGAGGUUCAGGGACUUCAUCUACAGGGCCUUCACUGAGGACGUGCAGUGA
Molecule: ribosomal RNA, 2556 nt
Filed under: Triticum aestivum (bread wheat)
Lineage: Eukaryota; Viridiplantae; Streptophyta; Magnoliopsida; Poales; Poaceae
Description: partial small subunit ribosomal RNA
Source: RNAcentral